UUCAAUCAACUCGUUUAUAAUGGUUAACUAUUUUUAUGUUAAUUUAUUAUUUAUUCAUUUUUUUUUGAAAUGGAAUUUAUUAUUUAUUCAUUGUUAAUUAAUAAUAAUUGUUGACAUUCAAAUGUAGUAUAACAUGAUAAAUCCCUCCAUCAAAUUCUAUUGAGAAACAUACACGUGGCAUCGAUUGAUUGAAUUGAAAAAACAAAUAAUUUCAUCUUCUAAUAAAGAAAAGGAUAUUUCUUUUGUUCCAUCUUAAUUUCCAAGCCAUGAUAUAUACAUGAUCCGAUGGAACCGCACCAUGUCAUGUGCAGUUAUCCGUCGCCGGCUCCAAAGCCCCCAUUAUUAACUAUGUCAAUCAAUCGCAUUGUUAGAGAUUAAUCAAUCUUUUGUCAACAAAAUCAAAGUCAAUGUCCCUUUAUAAUUAUUAUUUUCAAAUAUUUAGAAAAAAAAUUAACAUAUUAUGUUUGUAUUACAAUCAACUUAAA
This 485-nucleotide long non-coding RNA is filed under the name Manihot esculenta (cassava). RNAcentral describes it as "long non-coding RNA (MESC_LNC008872)". The record is from RNAcentral. Lineage: Eukaryota; Viridiplantae; Streptophyta; Magnoliopsida; Malpighiales; Euphorbiaceae.